UCGUGAAACACUGUCCACAGAUUUUUUGACAGUUAAUACUUAUUUAUAGACAAACAGGCAAGAGCACAACACAUGUACCUACAAGUACAGCGGUUGUCUUCUGUCCUGACCUGGUAAAGCCAGUUUCAGCAGUUUUUGAUGGCUAAGCUUUUUCUUUCUCCCUUUUUAAAUCUUAUUUACAUUGAUCGUGUAUGUGAUAGUGAUUUAUCUUCUUGUUUUCGGUGUAUGUAAAUGUUAGCGUUAGUUGCUCCUGAUCAUCACUCAAACAAAAACUAGCCAAAGGGUUUGUAGUGACUUUGUACCCAAAGGUGUUCCGGUUCGGAUAUACAAUAAUUUUAGCGCUUUGAGUGUUUUGUUAAUUUGUUGCAGUAGGAUAUAAAUAAUUCGAUCACCAUCGCGUUGAAUGAAUUGUAUAUUCAAUCCUUAACACGUUAUGGAGUUGGUCGUACAUGAGCAUUAUAUAUCCACAUGCAAGGUAUGCAUUGUUUUUGUCAUCAUUUCUAAUUUUUAAAGCAAUGAGCAUCAAAUAAGCCAUGAUAGACGCUUUAAACUGUUAAUUAAAGUAGUUGAUUCACUAUUACGAUUUACGAGUACGAACCAUUCUCCCGAACCGGAAGCCAGCACCAUGUCAAGUCGUACCGGUCCGGAGGAAGACAGAUCAGACGUAAACUGCAAAGCUUUUAAAUCCGUUUGGAAAGUCUUUGGACUUUAAGGUUGUCAGUGGAAGUACUGACUUAAUUACACCAGUUGUCCAUCCGCUAAAGUUUUGUAGUAACGGUAGACGUGGUUGCCAAUGAACUGCAAGAAUUUGCUUCGUCUCCUAACUUAUCCAGCUCUUGAGAUCUUUCCGAGUUGCCAUGAAAUGUAUCGGCCACAGAAGGUGGACGUCGUGUUCCAUGCUUGCAUGUACCCAGGCAGCGAUGACUGGAAUGGCAGCGAAGUUUCGGCAUCGAAACUCGGAAUGUCCAGCGUGGUCAACAAAUAAUACUGGGCGAUGGCUUUAUCGAUGCAAGUUACGAUUCCAUAAAGAAGACAGGUUACGACAAGUAUUCGGGUAACUCUGACGGAGAUCGCCGGUGACAGAGGCGUCACAACGGCACGCAACCGCUCGACGGAGAACACCACCAAAACCCUAAUAAUUAAGUAAAACUUAUUCGUCUAGUAAAAACAUAAUUAAAUUUUUCACACUGGUACACUAGAAUAAUAAUAAGUGCAAUACCAAUCCGCGAAUUUUGGGAAUCCGGACUGCAACCAGAUGUAUAAGCCUUGUACAUAAUCGUUAACAUAGUCGAAAGUGUAACUGCUGUCGAAAAUGGCCGGACUAAUUAGGAAUAGGUAUAUAGGAAAAAAUAUCCACCUGUGAAAAUGAGGCCAUUUUCUUGUACGAGUGUUUAUUACCGAUUUCAAAUUUAAUUACACAGACCGAAUAUAGACGGUUGUAAGCGGUACUGCUGAAAACACCAACGUUUCGACAUAUUGCAGAAAUGCUACUACCUGUUGCCUUUGCCAUUAAUUCAUGUUUAUGCACAAUGCAAUAAUUAAGGCAAUUCUGUCGACGUUUCUUUUGAUCAGUCACACUAUUACAGCAUUGUACUAACUAUAGAAAUAACUUCAAAUAAACAAUAGUGAUAUUCCAUUGUGCCUACCGCACCAAAAAUUUUUACUAUAUAUCGUAGCCUUGCUGGUACUUCAAAAUAUGGCUGUUAUAACGCUUUUGCAUACGAGUUUCUUUGACAGGGUCAGAUUAAUAACAUACGUAUGUAAUAUAUUACUUUUAAUAGUUAACUAUGUGCUUACAUUUAAUGCAAAGUACGGUGAUUACUGAUUACCAUGCAUUAACUUACAGCGUCAAGAGAUCAGCAACCGCUAGUCCCAGUAAUAAAAUAUCGGCACUUUGUGCAUUUUUAAUGGCUCCAAAAACUGCAAUAUUUAUAAAAUUUCCAACAGUGCAGAAAAACAAUAGAAUGGGAUAACAGAUGAUGAAACUAUACUCCGAACGUUCCUGCGCUGUGGUUUCAUUAUAAUCCUCCGUCCAAGGACACGUGUAAUCAGGUGUACUGUAGUUGAUUGAAAGAUUUGCUUCCAUUUUCAGCAAUAAUAUUCGAAAUUAAGCAAAUCUUUAGCGCGCUUGCAUUUACAGUCAUUUUCUGAGUUUUAAAAUUCUUGAAUUUUUCGCUGAUGUAGUCGUUAACAGUAGAUCCAUAAUAUCAGUGAAAACAAUAGCCGUAAAUAAUCUUUUCGACGAAAAAUUUGCCCGUCGGCAAGCUUAAGCCAUGUGUUGUACAGAGUACUUGUACACAUCUACCAACAUGAUCGUGUAAGUACAAUACAUAAAGUGUAUAAAGCAUACGCUCCGAAGAAGUAGCUUAACAAGUUCACGACGGAGCGGCUUCUCAAA
Molecule: long non-coding RNA, 2398 nt
Organism: Paramacrobiotus metropolitanus
Lineage: Eukaryota; Metazoa; Tardigrada; Eutardigrada; Parachela; Macrobiotidae
Exons: 3
Source: RefSeq, a predicted model, not a curated record